RNAcentral lists this ribosomal RNA (438 nucleotides) under uncultured bacterium. Its description in RNAcentral is "partial 16S ribosomal RNA". It matches the Rfam family "Bacterial small subunit ribosomal RNA", at positions 339 to 795 of the family's 1533-position model. The record is from RNAcentral.
CUACGGGCGGCACCAGUGAGGAAUAUUGCACAAUGGGGGGAACCCUGAUGCAGCAACGCCGCGUGGAGGAUGACGCAUUUCGGUGUGUAAACUCCUUUUAUAUGUCAAGAAAAUGACGGUAGCAUAUGAAUAAGCACCGGCUAACUCCGUGCCAGCAGCCGCGGUAAUACGGAGGGUGCAAGCGUUACUCGGAAUCACUGGGCGUAAAGGACGCGUAGGCGGGUUGGAAAGUCAGGUGUGAAAUCUUACAGCUUAACUGUAGAACUGCACUUGAAACUUCUAAUCUAGAGUAUGGGAGGGGGAGAUGGAAUUAGUGGUGUAGGGGUAAAAUCCGUAGAUAUCACUAGGAAUACCUAAAGCGAAGGCGAUCUCCUGGAACAUUACUGACGCUAAGGCGUGAAAGCGUGGGGAGCAAACAGGAUAGAUACCCUUGUAGUC